RNAcentral lists this ribosomal RNA (497 nucleotides) under uncultured bacterium. Its description in RNAcentral is "partial 16S ribosomal RNA". It matches the Rfam family "Bacterial small subunit ribosomal RNA", at positions 28 to 507 of the family's 1533-position model. The record is from RNAcentral.
GAUGAACGCUGGCGGCGUGCCUAAUACAUGCAAGUCGAGCGAACAGACGAGGAGCUUGCUCCUCUGACGUUAGCGGCGGACGGGUGAGUAACACGUGGAUAACCUACCUAUAAGACUGGGAUAACUUCGGGAAACCGGAGCUAAUACCGGAUAAUAUAUUGAACCGCAUGGUUCAAUAGUGAAAGACGGUUUUGCUGUCACUUAUAGAUGGAUCCGCGCCGCAUUAGCUAGUUGGUAAGGUAACGGCUUACCAAGGCGACGAUGCGUAGCCGCCCUGGGAGGGUGAUCGGCCACACUGGAACUGAGCCACGGUCCAGACUCCUACGGGAGGCAGCAGUAGGGAAUCUUCCGCAAUGGGCGAAAGCCUGACGGAGCAACGCCGCGUGAGUGAUGAAGGUCUUCGGAUCGUAAAACUCUGUUAUUAGGGAAGAACAAAUGUGUAAGUAACUAUGCACGUCUUGACGGUACCUAAUCAGAAAGCCACGGCUAACUACGUG